AUGAUGAAUGUCAUAGAUUAGACGUAAAGUUUAUUCUAUAAAUGAAAGUGUAAGCAUUCCACCUCAAGAGUAAUUUGGCAACAUUGGAACUGAAAUCAUUAGACCGUAUCUGAAACCAGUAGUGAAGUAUGUUGUUUAAUUUGAUGAUCCGCAAAAAACCUUACCACAAUUUGAAUAUUUAUAUAUAUAUUUAUAUAUAUAUUUUUACAAGCGUUGCACGGCUGUUUUCAGUUAAUGUCGUGAGAUUUUGGUUAGUUCCAUUAAAUUAACGUAAGCCCUUACUUUAUUUUUUAUAUAAAGUUGUUCCCCACUAGAUUGGAUAUGAUAACAGGGACUAAGACAAGUCAUCAUGGCCUAAAUAUUGU
RNAcentral lists this ribosomal RNA (365 nucleotides) under Lecanora sp. Its description in RNAcentral is "SSU rRNA". It matches the Rfam family "Bacterial small subunit ribosomal RNA", at positions 801 to 1210 of the family's 1533-position model. Lineage: Eukaryota; Fungi; Ascomycota; Lecanoromycetes; Lecanorales; Lecanoraceae. The record is from RNAcentral.